GUCAGGAUGGCCGAGCGGUCUAGGCGCCAGAGCUAAACACGACCCAAGGUUAACCUUUGCCCUGCCAUGUGAAUCAAAAACCGAGCGCUCGGUUCCACUCAGUGCACGCGGGUUCGAAUGCCGUCUCUGACA
This is a non-coding RNA of Exocentrus adspersus, 132 nucleotides long. NCBI's taxonomy places the organism in Eukaryota, Metazoa, Arthropoda, Insecta, Coleoptera, Cerambycidae. The record is from the annotation of a GenBank genome assembly.